This 354-nucleotide ribosomal RNA is filed under the name Escherichia sp. E2748. Its description in RNAcentral is "bacterial SSU rRNA". It matches the Rfam family "Bacterial small subunit ribosomal RNA", at positions 1 to 347 of the family's 1533-position model. The record is from RNAcentral. Lineage: Bacteria; Pseudomonadati; Pseudomonadota; Gammaproteobacteria; Enterobacterales; Enterobacteriaceae.
UUAAAUUGAAGAGUUUGAUCAUGGCUCAGAUUGAACGCUGGCGGCAGGCCUAACACAUGCAAGUCGAACGGUAACAGAAAGAAGCUUGCUUCUUUGCUGACGAGUGGCGGACGGGUGAGUAAUGUCUGGGAAACUGCCUGAUGGAGGGGGAUAACUACUGGAAACGGUAGCUAAUACCGCAUAACGUCGCAAGACCAAAGAGGGGGACCUUCGGGCCUCUUGCCAUCGGAUGUGCCCAGAUGGGAUUAGCUAGUAGGUGGGGUAACGGCUCACCUAGGCGACCGAUCCCUAGGCUGGUCUGAGAGGAUGACCAGCCACACUGGAACUGAGACACGGUCCAGACUCCUACGGGAG